Molecule: ribosomal RNA, 253 nt
Filed under: uncultured bacterium
Lineage: Bacteria
Description: partial 16S ribosomal RNA
Rfam family: Bacterial small subunit ribosomal RNA
Source: RNAcentral
UACGUAGGGGGCAAGCGUUGUCCGGAAUCAUUGGGCGUAAAGCGCGUGUAGGCGGCUUGGUAAGUCUGCUCUGAAAGCCCGGGGCUCAACCCUGGGAGGCGGGUGGAUACUGCUGAGCUCGAGUCCGGAAGAGGCGAGUGGAAUUCCUGGUGUAGCGGUGAAAUGCGCAGAUAUCAGGAGGAACACCAAUUGCGAAGGCAGCUCGCUGGGACGUGACUGACGCUGAGACGCGAAAGCGUGGGGAGCAAACAGG